Molecule: ribosomal RNA, 364 nt
Filed under: uncultured Acidithiobacillus sp.
Lineage: Bacteria; Pseudomonadati; Pseudomonadota; Acidithiobacillia; Acidithiobacillales; Acidithiobacillaceae
Description: bacterial SSU rRNA
Rfam family: Bacterial small subunit ribosomal RNA
Source: RNAcentral
GGGUGAGUAAUGCGUAGGAAUCUGUCUUUUAGUGGGGGACAACCCAGGGAAACUUGGGCUAAUACCGCAUGAGCCCUGAGGGGGAAAGCGGGGGAUCUUCGGACNNNNCGCUAAGAGAAGAGCCUACGUCUGAUUAGCUAGCUGGUAGGGUAAAGGCCUACCAAGGCGACAAUCAGUAGCUGGUCUGAGAGGACGACCAGCCACACUGGGACCGAGACACGGCCCAGACUCCUACGGGAGGCAGCAGUGGGGAAUUUUUCGCAAUGGGGGCAACCCUGACGAAGCAAUGCCGCGUGGAUGAAGAAGGCCUUCGGGUUGUAAAGUCCUUUCGUGGGGGACGAAAAGGUGGAUCCUAAUACGAGCU